Xyrichtys novacula (pearly razorfish) is the source of this 3943-nucleotide non-coding RNA. The record is from the annotation of a GenBank genome assembly. Lineage: Eukaryota; Metazoa; Chordata; Actinopteri; Labriformes; Labridae.
GAGAGUUUCUUCCUCAUUAAUCCAGGAGGUUUGGCCAUCCAGGAGCGAGUGGAUGCAGCAAUCAGGUAAACAGGACAGACGUCAUACAAGCAUUAUGUAAACAUCAAUAUAUUCAUUUCUUGGGGAGUAGAGACUAUUUGUCCCUGUGCUCUGCUUUUAAAGAAAAUACAGAGGUUUUCGAUGCAGGACAUUAGCAUUAAAAAUGUUGUAAUUUUAGCAACAUCUUCCUGUUACAUCUUACUUGCGUCAUCACAGACUCUGCUCCCAGAUCAGUUUCCACAGUCCGACCCUCACACACACACACAUACACACUCACUCACAGUGAUGAUUUGGGCCACCAGACACGACAUUCAUCAUCUGUAGAAUUAAACGGACACUUUGCAUAAAAAUCAGAGGCCCUCAAAGAUCUACAGAGCUCACUUUGGAUUUCAAAGCGCCAAAGUGCUCUUUGUGCUGGCUCAUUCUCACAUUUAAUUCAAUCGGUCAGAGCAGAAGAGUGUAAUUACUGCGGAUAAAAGAGACGUGGUCACACUGUAACAGGCUGCUGACCACCCAGCAAACACAAAUUCAAUCAAAGGCUCAGCCAGAGGUGAUCAGACGCUGCAGCUCUAAUCAAAGGAAUCUUAAUAGUCAUGAUAAUCUGAUCAGUCACACCCAAAGAUGAAAUAUUCACAGCUAUGUGGAGCAGACGAGGAGGAAAUUCAUUAAAAAUGAAGAGCUGCAGACAAUGAGAGCUGUGACUCAGCUGCUGUGUCACAGAUCACACCGGGACGGAUGACGUAUCAAAAAGGUAAGACUCAGGUCUAGGGGUUGACCUCAGUUUCCUGAGUUAGGACUAGUCAUGUGACUGACCAUCUUGUAAGUUAGUGAUGGGCAUGGCAGUUCUUUUAGAUGUUCUGAAUCACUAGUGUUAUGGACAGUCAUUCGUUUUGAGUGUUUUCUUCAUGUUUAUUAUUUUUCUGCGGUAAAGUAGCAGUUUAGUUCGACGAUGACGUCACUUCCUGCAAAGACCGGAAGUGGUCGCAGGUCGGGAUUCGCGCGAACGGACGGCCGACAGGGCGUUUAUGGAGUGUUUUCCUCGUUAUCCUCCGUGGUUUUACAAGUCUGUUAAGACGCAUUAUCUGUGAGUAUGUGUUAAUAUGGUUUACAUUGAUGUUAAGAGUGAACUAUUUGGCGAUUUAUGUCUGAAAUUCAUGCCUAUUUUGUAAUGUUUUGUAUUGCAGUUUCACACUGGUUCAGUAAAAAGUCAAACAAGUCCCGGCUUCAACUGCAUUUAUUGAAUCACGUGUUUAAAUGUCUGGAUAACCGCUGGUGAGACCAGUACAAUUAGAAUCAGUUCACUAAAAAGAUUUGCUCAAAAGAUUCGUUUACCAAAUCACCGAAUCAUUUCAUGGGAGAAGUCUGCGACUCCGACCUCCUGAACUGAUACACAGCUGAACAUUUCAUGAUUCAGUUCAGAUCAGUUCAGUUCACAUCUGGGACUGGAAGACAAGAGUGUUUGGCUUUGUUGCUUGUUUAUAAGUCAUGUUUUAAGUGUACUGUCCCAUGGUAUGCUAUUUACCAGGUCUGCUCGGUAAACUGGGCUCAGUGAGUGAUUCGUUCACUUAAAGUUUAGAAGAAUUCACAUUGAACAUGCACCGUUCCCUCACAAACCGCUGCAAAGAUAGGAUGCUGCGGGUUUAAUGCACUAUUUGUUAGGUGCUGUGUCCUAUUGUAUAAAAGUUGUUGUGUGGCAAUUUAGCAGUGAAAUAAUGAUUCCAGAGAGUGCAGUUCAAUGCUUGAUUCAUUCAACAAGUGAUCCAGGCGUCUGUGCAUGUGGUUCCUUGUUUGCCGGCUGCUGGCCUGGCAAUGCUGUUUCUCACUUCAGCUCAAUUGAAAUGAGAAACAAACAAAUUGCUCGAGGAAGUGAUUCGGUUCAUUACGUUCACUUAAAAGAUUCGGUUCUUUUGAACGAAUCGUUCGCAAACAACACAGGAACAGGGACAAGCAACCUUACUGGGACUCUAGAAAGUGCAAAAUGAUGUUGCAGUUACCAGGGAUCACUAGACAUCAAAAGUAAUCAAAAAUAUCUUAGAAUAACUGCAGAUCAUAUUUAGACUGACUGAACAUUAUAAACCUGCAUUUAAAGCUGCGUGUUAGGGCUGAAUUCUGUCUCUAAAAUACACAAUAAGUGGGAAAACUGAUGUUCCAUACCCUCCUCUCUCUAAGACUCAAAUCCAACUCAUUCUGGUCUUUGUUUACAAAAAAGUCACCAGAAAUCUGAUCCGCACAAAUGGCUAGAUUGUUCUGCCUAAACAUAAAAUCCUCCCACUGUUUUUCGGUGCCUUCAUCUUCCCAAAGCACCCUUUGGAGCAACUUUAUGAGACAUACUGAAUCACUAGAUAGCAUCUCUAUCUGAGUAUCUCAUUUUCUGCAACUUUUUCCGAUCCCACACUGUAAUCUUUUAUAGCCUUCAGUAAAGUAUCUCGUAUGGAUUGGUUUGACGUGUUUCCUUUGCUGUGACAAAAAAAAGUACUCCAAAGCUGUCUCUGUUUAUUAUAAUAAGUCUGAAAAUCCAAACUAAGUAUUUUCCAUCGCAUUUAUUUGAUCCCAGAUUGACGUUACUGCAUCAUAAACAUGGACUUAAAACUGUUCAGAAAUGAAACAUAAUGAAUUUUGAACACAAGAUUAAAAACACAUAAAUUGACAGCCCUUACCCUCCUCUCCUCUUGUUAAUAUCCCCUAACCCUGGCAGUCUAUAAGUCUUCUAAGAUCUCCUCUGUGGCAAACACUUACUCUUUGAAUAUCCUAAAGUAAAGCAGAAAGAGGUUUAUAUUAAUGUGGAAACACAUCCCGCCUAUUCUCUGUGAACUUUCUCUGUCAGACCAGUCUUAAAUGAAAUGUCAGUGUUUAUAAGUCUGGACUUUUAUCCACCGUAGAAAUAAAAGAGGUGAUAAAUCACGACUAUUCAGGCUACUCCAGUCACAGCAGCUCCACUUGUUAACAAAUGGAAAAAGAAAGUGUUAUAGGAGGUGGAAAUGGGGUCAUUUUAUCAAUAUUUGACUCUGACUUCUCUGAUUGCUCUGUGAGUGUUUUGUUAUUCCCUUCACUGUCUGAAAGCCACUCAGAGGUUUUUCUCCCAGAGGAUAUUCAAGGAGUCUGUCAUCUUUUGGAGCUGUCUCUGCUCAGCCCACUAUCUGUUUUUGAUAAGUGACUGUGAGGUCCUCUGAGAGUCCGCAAAUCGUUCUGAGAUAUACAAGUUAAACCGGGACUAAAUGGAAGUCUGAGUGUUUCAGAGAAGCAGGGAGGGUCAAGAUAAUAAUUUGGCCUUUAAAGUUAUCCUUUAGGACAGCGACCCCUGCUGACUUGUUUGUACCACAUGAAAACCAGAUGUCUUUCCCCCUUUGAUUUUUCCAGAAUGAUCUGUCUGACUUUUCAGCAUGCGUUUCUUGGAUAAAGUAAAAAUCUACUGGUUUCCUCUGACAAAACAAAAACACCCCUUUCCUUUUUAGAUCAUUUCUAAUCCUUCCCUCAAGGGAAAAGGCUUUUGGGAACAUGAGAAUCAUGAGGUCCUUGAGGUCCAGGGGUGUAGUCAUCUGUCCGGGACUCCUGAGGUUGUGGGUUUGAUCCUUCGCCAGUACUCUGUGAGUUAUUGUAGGUCACUGUUUAAAUAAAACAGGGUGAAAAGUGUUCCUGAACAUAUCAUGAUUAUGUCCACAUGGCUCAGAGAAUAAGAAGUCUGACUGGGACUCCUGAGGUCGUGGGUACAAGCCUUAUCCAGGGUGAGGUAAAUUAAAGUCCAGCAGCCAAAGUGCCAUGAUAAAAGCGUGCAGAGCUCAUCCCCAUGUGCCAAUGGUAUCCAGUGGUGCAGUGCGGUAUACAACUGACACCCAAAUGCCACUCAGGCAGUCAGCCCUUGUUUGAUAUCCGUUCGACACAAAGGAGAUCCUAAAGCAAAUCCUGG